GGAUACCCCGAGCGGCACCAACAGCGGCGCGGGCAAGAAGCGCUUUGAAGUGAAAAAGUGGAAUGCAGUAGCCCUCUGGGCCUGGGAUAUUGUGGUUGAUAACUGUGCCAUCUGCAGGAACCACAUUAUGGAUCUUUGCAUAGAAUGUCAAGCCAACCAGGAGUCCGCUACUUCUGAAGAGUGCACCGUGGCGUGGGGCGUCUGUAACCAUGCUUUUCACUUCCACUGCAUCUCUCGCUGGCUCAAAACACGGCAGGUGUGUCCGUUGGACAACAGAGAGUGGGAAUUCCAAACGUAUGGGCACUAGAAAAAGAGAAUUCUUCGAUCAAGCUCAACUGUUUUUUUGUUAUCCACUGAAUGACUUGCCCUCCUGUUACUUAAUUAUAAAUUAGAUAGAACCGUGUCUCUUCUGCUUUGGCUUUUCAGUUUGCUAUUCCGGCAAGCCAUACUGUAUUCUGUGUCAAAUAAAAUCCAGUUGGAUUCUAGAACAGACGCUGUCUCUUGUGUAUGUGCAAAAAGUGAAUGCAAGUAAAGAGCCCUCCCGCCCCUUUCUAGGGUGGAAGGCCAGGUUUUGAAAGUGAGAUGUUCAUCAGAGCCAAAGCAGGAUCGUCCUGCGAGCACGUCGCUUGGUCUCGAGGAAGCCUGGUCCACAGCCUGGCUGCUGAUGGUGAUCUUGGGCGAGUGGUCUCUCUGCUCUGAACUCUUCCUCCUCCGUGAAGUGGCUGCCAAGGACUAAACAGGAUCAUCUGGGCACAGAAAGAGGCCUUAUAAACUGUGAGAACGCUGUACAGGUGUUAACUUUGUGUAUGACGUGUCGCUUUCUCAGUUUAGUUUAGAAAAGUUAACUUGAAAAAAAAUUAAUAUGUUAUCUUGGCUGGCAGUGGAGUAAUGUGUGAACUCAAAUUGGAAAUCAGUGUCAUUUAGAGUUAAAGGGAGAAUUCAGGUUUCCCUUCUCCACCACCACCCUUUGUAAUUUGUUUAAAAUGCCUUGGCCGUGGACGGAACUGCCAGUUCUAACACUACUUCAAUCUCUUAGUCGUUAAGAGGAGGGUUAAUUUACUGCAGUGAUUCUCAAAGUGUGUGCUGAGGACUUGCAGGAGUAAUGGAAACACUUUCAGGAGGUUCACGAAGUUCCUUUUCUGGCUGCAUGUCUGUAAAAGGCCAGUUUUUCUUUUUUUCCUUCAACCAAAGCAAUGUAUUGAAUGAAGACGCAGAGCAGCGAAUCCAGCUGUCUUCUGCUAAGUCAGAUAUAAAAAAGAUUUGCAAAAAUGUAAAACGGUACCACUCUUCUAACUUUUGUUUUGAAAAACUAACUUUGAAUAAAAAUAUUUAUGUUAAAAAAAAAA
Molecule: long non-coding RNA, 1346 nt
Organism: Bos taurus (domestic cattle)
Lineage: Eukaryota; Metazoa; Chordata; Mammalia; Artiodactyla; Bovidae
Source: Ensembl